CCAGACUCCUACGGGAGGCAGCAGUGGGGAAUAUUGGACAAUGGGGGGAACCCUGAUCCAGCGACGCCGCGUGAGUGAAGAAGUAUUUCGGUAUGUAAAGCUCUAUCAGCAGGGAAGAAAGAAAUGACGGUACCUGACUAAGAAGCCCCGGCUAGCUACGUGCCAGCAGCCGCGGUAAUACGUAGGGGGCAAGCGUUAUCCGGAUUUACUGGGUGUAAAGGGAGCGUAGACGGCAGUGCGAGUCUGGAGUGAAAGGCGGGGGCUCAACCCCCGGACUGCUCUGGAAACUGUACGGCUGGAGUGCAGGGGAGGUAAGUGGAAUUCCUAGUGUAGCGGUGAAAUGCGUAGAUAUUAGGAGGAACACCAGUGGCGAAGGCGGCCUGCUGGGCUUUUACUGACGCUGAGGCUCGAAAGUGUGGGGAGCAAACAGGAUUAGAUACCCGUGUACC
Molecule: ribosomal RNA, 449 nt
Filed under: uncultured bacterium
Lineage: Bacteria
Description: bacterial SSU rRNA
Rfam family: Bacterial small subunit ribosomal RNA
Source: RNAcentral